RNAcentral lists this ribosomal RNA (441 nucleotides) under uncultured Acinetobacter sp. Its description in RNAcentral is "bacterial SSU rRNA". It matches the Rfam family "Bacterial small subunit ribosomal RNA", at positions 358 to 790 of the family's 1533-position model. Lineage: Bacteria; Pseudomonadati; Pseudomonadota; Gammaproteobacteria; Moraxellales; Moraxellaceae. The record is from RNAcentral.
GGAAUAUUGGACAAUGGGGGGAACCCUGAUCCAGCCAUGCCGCGUGUGUGAAGAAGGCUUUUUGGUUGUAAAGCACUUUAAGCGAGGAGGAGGCUCCCAGUAUUAAUACUACUGGAGAGUGGACGUUACUCGCAGAAUAAGCACCGGCUAACUCUGUGCCAGCGGCCGCGGUAAUACAGAGGGUGCAAGCGUUAAUCGGAUUUACUGGGCGUAAAGCGUGCGUAGGUGGCCAAUUAAGUCAAAUGUGAAAUCCCCGAGCUUAACUUGGGAAUUGCAUUCGAUACUGGUUGGCUAGAGUAUGGGAGAGGAUGGUAGAAUUCCAGGUGUAGCGGUGAAAUGCGUAGAGAUCUGGAGGAAUACCGAUGGCGAAGGCAGCCAUCUGGCCUAAUACUGACACUGAGGUACGAAAGCAUGGGGAGCAAACAGGAUUAGAUACCCCAG